CUGCCGGAGGCCAUUGCUAUUGGGAUUCGAUUUAGCCAUGCUAGUCGUACGAGUUCAUACUCGUGGCGAAUAGCUCAGUAACACGUGGCCAAACUACCCUUCGGAGCACGAUACCCUCGGGAAACUGAGGCUAAUAGUGCAUACCGCAUCACACCUGGAAUGAGUGAUGCGCCAAACGCUCCGGCGCCGAAGGAUGUGGCUGCGGCCGAUUAGGUAGACGGUGGGGUAACGGCCCACCGUGCCAAUAAUCGGUACGGGUCAUGAGAGUGAGAACCCGGAGACGGAAUCUGAGACAAGAUUCCGGGCCCUACGGGGCGCAGCAGGCGCGAAACCUUUACACUGCACGACAGUGCGAUAAGGGAAUCCCAAGUGCGUAGGCAUAGAGCCUACGCUUUUGUCCACCGUAGGGAGGUGGACGAAUAAGGGCUGGGCAAGACCGGUGCCAGCCGCCGCGGUAAUACCGGCAGCCCGAGUGAUGGCCGAUCUUAUUGGGCCUAAAGCGUCCGUAGCUGGCCGCACAAGUCCAUCGGAAAAUCCACCCGCCCAACGGGUGGGCGUCCGGUGGAAACUGUGUGGCUUGGGACCGGAAGGCGCGACGGGUACGUCCGGGGUAGGAGUGAAAUCCUGUAAUCCUGGACGGACCGCCGAUGGCGAAAGCACGUCGCGAGAACGGAUCCGACAGUGAGGGACGAAAGCUAGGGUCUCGAACCGGAUUAGAUACCCGGGUAGUCCUAGCCGUAAACAAUGCCUGCUAGGUGUGGCUCCCACUACGAGUGGGUGCUGUGCCGUAGGGAAGCCGCUAAGCAGGCCGCCUGGGAA
Molecule: ribosomal RNA, 819 nt
Filed under: Halorubrum sp.
Lineage: Archaea; Methanobacteriati; Methanobacteriota; Halobacteria; Halobacteriales; Haloferacaceae
Description: bacterial SSU rRNA
Rfam family: Archaeal small subunit ribosomal RNA
Source: RNAcentral